GACGUAGGGCGCGAGCGUUGUCCGGAUUUAUUGGGCGUAAAGAGCUCGUAGGCGGUUUGUCGCGUCUGCCGUGAAAGUCCGGGGCUCAACUCCGGAUCUGCGGUGGGUACGGGCAGACUAGAGUGAUGUAGGGGAGACUGGAAUUCCUGGUGUAGCGGUGAAAUGCGCAGAUAUCAGGAGGAACACCGGUGGCGAAGGCGGCGCGCUGGAUCUCUUCUGACGCUGAGGCGCGAAAGCCAGGGGAGCGAACGGG
Molecule: ribosomal RNA, 253 nt
Filed under: uncultured bacterium
Lineage: Bacteria
Description: partial 16S ribosomal RNA
Rfam family: Bacterial small subunit ribosomal RNA
Source: RNAcentral